RNAcentral lists this ribosomal RNA (301 nucleotides) under uncultured bacterium. RNAcentral describes it as "partial 16S ribosomal RNA". It matches the Rfam family "Bacterial small subunit ribosomal RNA", at positions 509 to 807 of the family's 1533-position model. The record is from RNAcentral.
CAGUAGCCGCGGUAAUACGAGGGGGGCAAGCGUUGUUCGGAAUUAUUGGGCGUAAAGGGUGCGUAGGCGGUUUGAUAAGUCUUGUGUGAAAUCUAUGGGCUCAACCCAUAGUCUGCAUAGGAAACUGUCAGGCUUGAGGAUGGGAGAGGUGAGUGGAAUUUCCGGUGUAGCGGUGAAAUGCGUAGAUAUCGGAAGGAACACCUGUGGCGAAAGCGGCUCACUGGACCAUUUCUGACGCUGAUGCACGAAAGCUAGGGGAGCAAACAGGAUUAGAUACCCCCGUAGUCCCUGUCUCUUAUAC